This 903-nucleotide ribosomal RNA is filed under the name uncultured archaeon. Its description in RNAcentral is "bacterial SSU rRNA". It matches the Rfam family "Archaeal small subunit ribosomal RNA", at positions 1 to 879 of the family's 1478-position model. The record is from RNAcentral.
UCCGGUUGAUCCUGCCGGACCUUACUGCUAUCGGGAUAGGACUAAGACACGUUAGUCGAGCGUUUCUCAGCUAUGAAAGAAACGCGGCAGACGGCUCAGUAACAUGUGGCUAACCUGCCCUUAGGACGGAGAUAACCCCGGGAAACUGGGGCUAAUAUUUGAUAGGUGUGGACUCCUGGAAUGGAUCCACACUCAAAGGGUGCUUAGAUCAUGCUUUAAGCGUCGCCUAAGGAUGGGGCCGCAGCCGAUCAGGUUGUUGGCGAGGUAACGGCUCACCAAGCCUAUAACCGGUACGGGCCGCGGGAGCGGUAGCCCGGAGAUGGACACUGAGACAAGGGUCCAGGCCCUACGGGGCGCAGCAGUCGCGAAAACUCCGCAAUACACGAAAGUGUGACGGGGCUAUCCCGAGUGCCGUCCGCUGAGGAUGGCUUUUCUCCAGUGUAAGGAGCUGGAGGAAUAAGGAGAGGGCAAGUCUGGUGUCAGCCGCCGCGGUAAUACCAGCUCUCCGAGUGGUAAGGAUGUUUAUUGGGCCUAAAGCGUCCGUAGCCGGUUCAGCAAGUCCUCCGUUAAAUCCAGCGAUUCAAUCGUUGGACUGCGGGGGAUACUGUUGGACUAGGGGACGGGAGAGGCCGACGGUAUUCCCGGAGUAGGGGUGAAAUCCUAUAAUCCCCGGGAGGACCACCAGUGGGCGAAGGGCUGUCGGCUAGAACGAGCCCGACGGUGAGGGACGAAAGCUGGGGGAGCGAACCGGAUUAGAUACCCGGGUAGUCCCAGCUGUAAACGAUGCGGGCUAGGUGUUAGGGUGGCUACGAGCCACUCUAGUGCCGCAGCGAAGGCGUUAAGCCCGCCGCCUGGGGAGUACGGCCGCAAGGCUGAAACUUAAAGGAAUUGGCGGGGGAGCAC